RNAcentral lists this microRNA precursor (95 nucleotides) under Cricetulus griseus (Chinese hamster). RNAcentral's name for it is "mir-346 microRNA precursor family". It matches the Rfam family "mir-346 microRNA precursor family". The record is from Rfam by way of RNAcentral. Lineage: Eukaryota; Metazoa; Chordata; Mammalia; Rodentia; Cricetidae.
GGUCUCUGUGUUGGGCGUCUGUCUGCCCGAGUGCCUGCCUCUCUGCUGCUCUGAAGGAGGCAGGGGCUGGGCCUGCAGCUGCCUGGGCAGAGCUG